This is a long non-coding RNA of Rhinopithecus roxellana (golden snub-nosed monkey), 1703 nucleotides long. RefSeq lists it as uncharacterized. The transcript is spliced from 3 exons. The record is from RefSeq and is a predicted model, not a curated record. NCBI's taxonomy places the organism in Eukaryota, Metazoa, Chordata, Mammalia, Primates, Cercopithecidae.
CCUCUUCCCUCGCCGCCCGGGCCCGCCCUGGCCGAUUACAGCGGCCUGGCCACCUCGGGAGCACGCCGUCUCUUCCCGACGUGCAGCCCCAGGCCCGGCCCUGUCCCCGGGUGACUGCUCCCCGGCAGGACCGCGCAUCUGUGUGCGGCAGGCCCAGCUGAGGGCUCGGGGGAGGGUUCGGCCUUGCCCUCAAAGAGCUCCCUCUCCUGCAGGGUGAGCGCAGAGCGGCGGGCGGGAGCACACUGCGUGUGCUGAGGGCGGACUGGUCUUAGCGGGAGGGAAGCCUCACGAACCUGUACACUUGGAGGAGCCCUAAGCGUUAGGAUCUGCUGCGAGGGCUGCCUGGAAUGGAGGUGGGAGGAUACAAGUGGCCCGGGGCAAGCAUAGUGAAUCACUGGCUAAACUGGCCUUCGAGGUAGUGAAAGGAAAAAAGGGAAAUGAAGCUGACUGCGGCUGAAUGUAGUAGGUCGUGAAGGCCAAAUGAGCGAUCUGAUUUUUAUUCUAGAAGCAGAGGAGAAACAGUAAAGAUUUUUGAGGAGACUAUAAUCAGGCUUGUAUCAUUAAUUCAUCAGACGUUUAUGGACCACCAAACGUCCCUGCACUCACGGGGCUUGCAGUCUCUCUGGCUUAAUCAUUUACUCUGGCAGUCAGUGUGAGGAGGGCACAGGAAGGAGACCAGGUGACAAAGCCAGCCUGACCAAAGAUGUGGCAACUGAUGGGAUUGGAAGAGGCGGACAAUGUCGAGCUUUCCUCCAGACAGCUGGACUGGCUCUCUAUAUAUUUGUUUAUCUAUUCUACACCCCCAGCCCCCACCUCCACACUCACUAACUGGACUCAACUAGUGGGUGCAAAGGACGGACUAGAUUUUAGUGAAAUGGAAUUUCUACCUCCAGCGGCCUCUGGAACAGGAGCACACAACGAUCUAAUAACUGCUUGCAGGAUUGGAUUUUCCCUGGCUGCAACUAGAAUCAACUGGGGAGCUUUUAAAAUAUCAGUGCCUGGCUCUCACCUCCAGAUUGAUGCUAGAUGGUUGUUCUCAAUGGGAAGAGGCCGAAGCAUGUUUAUAUGCUGUGUGGAGAGAGACAAUGGGAUCCAGCAUACACAUGAAGAGAGUAGCCUCUGGCUAAGGAGAACGGAAAUAGACAACCCUAUGAAAUAGCCAUUGUUACCGACCCCAGGAAUAAGAAAACAAAGGCAUAGAGAAGUGAACUAACUUGCUCAAGGCCACACACCUGGUAAGUCGCACAGCUAGGAUUUGAACUGGAGCAGUCUGGCACAAGAACCUGCUUUUUAAACCAAAAUGUUAUUUUAUACUACUUCUCCAAAGACAAAUCAUAAUAGUAAUAAUAACAGUAGCACUACCAUUUAUGGUGUUUAUGAUGGGCUAGAUGCUAUAGUAUGCCAGGCACACACAUUAUCUUGUUUAAGAUCACUCAGCUCUCAGGUGGAAGAGCUGGGAUUCAAACUUCAGGAUGCUUGAACCUGGGAGACAAUAAAGUGCACCAGGAGCUAGAAUAAGUUUGUACAAGGUACAAAUGUGAAGCAUAAAAGAGGACGUAAUUAAUCUUACCUGGUGGGAAUAGUGUUGAGUUGUGGGUUACUAAAAAACUUCACAUAGGGGUGACUUUUUUUUUUUUUUUUUUGAGACAAGGUCUGGCUCUGUUGCCCAGGCUGGAGUGCAGCGGCACAAUCACAGCUCACUG